Molecule: ribosomal RNA, 433 nt
Filed under: uncultured bacterium
Lineage: Bacteria
Description: partial 16S ribosomal RNA
Rfam family: Bacterial small subunit ribosomal RNA
Source: RNAcentral
AACGAACGCUGGCGGCAUGCCUAACACAUGCAAGUCGAACGAUGCCUUCGGGCAUAGUGGCGCACGGGUGCGUAACGCGUGGGAAUCUGCCUUUCGGUUCGGAAUAACUCAGGGAAACUUGAGCUAAUACCGGAUAACGUCGCAAGACCAAAGAUUUAUCACCGAAAGAUGAGCCCGCGUAGGAUUAGCUAGUUGGUGAGGUAAAGGCUCACCAAGGCGACGAUCCUUAGCUGGUCUGAGAGGAUGAUCAGCCACACUGGGACUGAGACACGGCCCAGACUCCUACGGGAGGCAGCAGUGGGGAAUAUUGGACAAUGGGCGAAAGCCUGAUCCAGCAAUGCCGCGUAAGUGAUGAAGGCCUUAGGGUUGUAAAGCUCUUUUACCCGGGAAGAUAAUGACGGUACCGGGAGAAUAAGCCCCGGCUAACUCCGUG